This is a long non-coding RNA of Osmia lignaria (orchard mason bee), 4439 nucleotides long. RefSeq lists it as uncharacterized. The record is from RefSeq and is a predicted model, not a curated record. Lineage: Eukaryota; Metazoa; Arthropoda; Insecta; Hymenoptera; Megachilidae.
CGAACAAUGCCCAGCAGGGCCGACCGGUCUUCGUCGGGAAGGAAGGUCUCGCCAUUUCGCAACGAAACAUUUUUAAUCAUUCGCAUUUAUGUUAUUUUUGCAACUAUUUGUUCGGUGCAAAAUGUGGACACAGAUUACGACAAUAUUUGUGUAUUACAUAAGUUUAAGAUAACAAUCACACUUUUAUGCAAUUACACCUGGAAAUUCUAUUCACGCCGAAAAACAUAAAAGCGCAUAACUGCGCGUUGACAUAGUAACCAAGAAAAUCGUCAUAAAAUAUACAUAUGUAUGUACAGUAUGUGUCAAUUAUUUAAAUUUCACAAUAACCGUUUGUGACAAACGGGCUGUUCGAUUCGAUCUCUUUGGUAGGAUUUAAUCAAAAUGCCGAUGUUAACAUAAACCUCAUGGACUGAAUGCAUGUUAUAAAUUGUCCUUUGAACAACCAUAAUCCAUAAAAAUUAAACUACAGGAACACGAAAUAAUUACAUAAUACUUUUUUUUUAACGUUUUCAUUCGAAAACAUGCCGUAAAAAGAAGAUAGUAUGUAUUUUAAAUUAAGUUCUGCAUCCGCAGAUGAAUCCAUCUUAAUUGUACGUGUACUUUUCUGUGGACACAUCAAUGCUUCACAUUUACGUUUAAUAUUUACAUACAUCAUUUUUUAAUAUACAUAUUAUAUCAUUAAGUUACGAAAUGCGUAGUUACCUACGAAAUACUAUGAUUUAUAAACCAUAGAUUUGUUUGUGUAAUAUAAUCCAAUCUAGAAUUUUUUGUUGAAUUUGUCUUUUUUCUGAUAAUACCUUAGCAGCUUUCUGAAAUUUUUCUUCGUUUCUGCGUACGUACAUCUUUGCAUCUUGUUCUAACUGACUAAUCUUUUCAGGACGUAUUUCUACCAUCGACAACAUUUCGGUCAAGUACGGAUUAAACCGAAAAUAAACGUGUUCCGGUAACAAAUCGUUAAGCAUCGUGUGUACAGCUGUAUAAUAAAAUAAUUGUUGGUAUUAUAAAACUUAGGAUUAAUUCAAUCCAUUCGGAUUUUUUUAUUUUUUAUUUUUUUUUUUUUUUUUUUUUUGUUACAGUAUGUAUAUUGUAAAACGUUACCUUCCGUAUCAGUUGCGCUAUCUAAAAUUUUAUAAAAUUUAUCUUUCCAACUUGAAAUCACAACAUUCGGAGAGUCAUUAUUGUUUUCAUAAAUUCGAUUUGGCGUUCGUCCAGUUCCAAAUGACACAACACACUGAAUUGGAUUAUUUGGCCAUAAUUGUUUGGCUUCGUGUAAAGCGACAGCGCAUGGAUUAUUUACGAGUAUACCUGUGUAACCGGAAGUCAAAUAUUUCAAUACGUUUCUCACUCGUAUAAAGUAUCUGCUUUGUUUUCUUAUUCUUUUUAUUUUACGAAAACGAUCAUUUUUUACCUCCAUCUUGAUGAAGGUAUUCACCGUGUUUAAACUCUUCGAAAUAACUAGGCGCUGCCGCAGACGCUCUUACAGCUUCCCACAAUUUGUGUUUGUGAGAUCCUAUGUAUUGACUUUCCACUUUAUAUGGCAAAGUAUAAUUUCUGAAUACAUAACCCAUUACACGCGCAUGAUUUACUAUAGCUGAUAUAGCUGAAAACUAAAGAAUACUUGUCAUGUAUAAUUUAACAAAUGUUUUAUCUUCGAUAUUUGUAAGAAACUACGUAAAACUCGUUCGCUAAGCAUAACUUGAUAUGUAUACCGCAGUUCACCCGAGUCCAUAACUGCGACGCGCAGGUUGGAAGAUGGUGGGGGAACGCAGCGAGCUCUCUGCUAAUCGCUUUCUACUUCGUUCGGGAGUCUCGCCAAUCAGGGCGAAGAUGCGCACGAAAGAACGAAAAGUGGUCUUUUCGCAGUUAUGAACUCUGGUGAAGUACGGUAUAUGUAUGUACCUUUGGAACAGUUGGAUCACGUACAGUUUUUAUAAGGGUUUUAUCUCCCAAAUGUUCUUGCAAUAAUUUCUCCCACAGUGCGGUAUCAUAAUAUCCAUGGCUCCAUACUAAAUUACUUGUACCUUUUAUAGCACUUUGAGUGAAUACUUUAGCGCUUAAUUCCUUGUAUAAUUCCGAUAUUUCGUUUAAUGAUUUUCGUUUAUGUCCUAAACAAAAUUUCAUCGUUUAGAGAUAAACAUAUAGACAUAAAAUAUGAAAUUAUUCGGACAAUUACACUGUAAUAUAAAAUAUAACAAAUUUUGCGUUAAACGAAUACGACUUUUAUACGCCAAUGCGUUAGGUAUUUAAAUGAAAAAAAUAAUAAUAAUGGCAAAUAGGCAGAUCUUAGGUAAUAAUAUAAUUAUAAACUACUAAGAAAUAUGUACAUACCUAAAAUAACUGCAAGAAUUGCUCCUGUACUGACACCACAUAUAUAAUCAAACAUCUCGUACGUUUUCUUGCCUGUUAACUCCUCAAGUUUCUUCAACAUUUCUAUGACUAAUACACCACGCAUACCGCCUCCAUCAAUAGAAAGAAUUCUAAUACCUUUACCAGGCAGUGGAUCGGUAUAACCUAAUACUGCUAACGCUUCUCGAACAGAUGCUGUAAAAUUUGUAUCUUUGAAUUAACAAGAUUCAAUUGAAUAGGAUAAUGAUUUAAUAUCGCAUCAUACCCAUUAUUUCUUCAUGUUUAGUUCGAUGGCGAAUGUUUAACAACACUUGAAUUGCACCUUCUUUUAUAGCGUAAUGCCUCGCUUCAGGAUAUUGAUCAAUGUGUAAUAAAAAGUCUUCAAUUCUUCUCCAGCGCGAAGCAUUGGACUCGGCACUUACAAUACUGUUUAAAAUAUGACGUGUUCUAGAUGCAAUACUAUGCAUUGGUAUAUUUUUCUGAACAUUUAUCUUCCACUUUGGUUGAACAAUCAACUUUGUUGCUUUACUUUUAACAGUUAGUUUAAAUAUUAACAUAUCAAAAGCUUGAAAGAAAGCAUGAGUUUUCGUGUCAGUUGGCACUUUGCCGUUACUCGUUGUUUCCUUGUAAAUUUGCUAUAACAAUCAUGAAAAGAAUGAAUAAAGAAUCACAUUUUUAUACGUUAUACAUACUUUUCAUAUACUACUCGAAACACACAACAUACUUUCUCAUGUUUAAUAAAAUCAGCCGAUAAUGUUUCACCUUUUCCAGACUCUAAUGUAAUCUUCUCAGUAGACGUUUUGUUGUUACCGGACUGAUCAGAGCUUAACGCUUUAUCGUCGUGCGUAAUCUUCGACAGUUCAGUUGGCGAGAAUCUUUUCAGAGCAUUAAUUUGUGAAUAUGUCACUUUUUGCAAGAAAUCAAGCCAAUCCUUGAAUAGAAUUAUUUGUAAAUUUUUAUUAUAACCAGAUUUAUUGAAAUAAUCCUUCAAUUGUGUUAAAAUUUUUGAAUGACUCUGCAUAGACAUUUUACUAUUCCACAGAAUAAUAUUUAUACUAUUAAGCAAUCUAUUAUCGUAGACUUUUUCACCGUGAUUCUUAUCUCGAUCACCAUUCGUAAAUCGUCUGUAAUAAAAAAAAAAUUACAUCAUACAUUUAACUCUGUAUCAGAAUAGCAAUAGAAUGGAAUAGAACAUACGACAGCAUUAAUAGAACACAGAUAACCUACAGGAAUGAAAAUAAUUAAAUGUUAUUUGUAAGUAAUUACCUCAGGAUAAGGUAUUUUUAUCGCUAGUUGCUCACAAAGUGAAUAAAACAGUUACGAAAGUCUUGUAGUGAAACUCGUAAAGAUAUCGGAUGUGAUGCGGCUGUCAAAAUCAGCUGAUGCGCAUAAUGUCGAAAAAUCUACCAAGAGCUAUAUUUAAAGAUGCUUUUUCGAGAAGCAAGACACUUAUUUGGUAAGAAGAACUAUUAUUAAUUUGGUUGCAAGUUCCACGUACUCUGUACGCGCAUUUAAAUAACGUACAGAAUUACUACUAUGCCAUUAUACAUAUGAUACACAAUACGUUUCAUAAAGCACUAUGUAUGUACAUUUGAUGCACGAUGCAAGCGCUAUAUUUUGUACGGUACGAAGAAAGGCAACAGAUAAUCCACGAAGAUUGAUUCAACGCAAACUGGUUAAACUUUGUCUCAUGGGCCCACAAAUUUUUGGUUAAAAAUUAUGAAAUCUUGUAGUUUUUGACCUGAAAAGUCCGAAAAUGCAAGUUAACAGUUUAGGAAACCAAUAGUUUAAAAGAUACGAGUACAUAAAAAUGUGUGUACUUGGCGUACUUUGACAGGAGUAUAGCUACCGCAAGAAAGGUUGGGUUACAUAGGAUGAUCAGAGAGAGAAGGAAGUAACAGGGGAUAGCGGAUAAUUAAGGAUAUCAGCGUGUCUGAAAUUGGGUUAAUAUAUUUAUGAAAAAAAUUCCCUCUUCGUCAGUCAUUUCGCUACCUAUACCUUGAACCACGGAAUUUUGUUUAUUAGAGAAUAUAGUGUUUAUUAGAAUGUAAGGUGUAGUUAAUAAAUGAAAGGUAUUAUAUAAAUGAAUAAAA